UCUGGCCUGUUGCUUGGUUUUCCAGGCCACGGCGCAUCUGGUUUCCUCAGGUUCACAUUUCUUGAUCGAUAGCUCGCCUCGGGGCUUUUCCCGCGGCGGAUUUGUUCUGACACGUAUCUUUCAAGGAAUAGCAAAAUGUCAACAGGCAUAGUCAAAUGGUUCAACGAUGCAAAGGGUUUCGGGUUCAUUACGCCCGAUGAUGGUGGCAAGGACUUGUUCGCGCACUUCUCCGAAGUGCAGGCAAGCGGGUUUAAGUCGCUAGCCGAAGGUCAGCGCGUCGAGUUUGUCGUCCGCCAGGGUGCCAAAGGCCCUCAGGCAGCGGAAAUCCGUCCGUCCUAAACGAGCGGGCAACACAAAAGAGCCGCGGCCCUGCGCCGCGGUUUUUUUA
RNAcentral lists this unclassified non-coding RNA (388 nucleotides) under Burkholderiales bacterium. RNAcentral describes it as "cspA". The record is from RNAcentral. Lineage: Bacteria; Pseudomonadati; Pseudomonadota; Betaproteobacteria; Burkholderiales.